Molecule: long non-coding RNA, 9835 nt
Filed under: Citrus x clementina
Lineage: Eukaryota; Viridiplantae; Streptophyta; Magnoliopsida; Sapindales; Rutaceae
Description: Citrus clementina (C. clementina) long non-coding RNA (CCLE_LNC006682)
Source: RNAcentral
AUUUCUGGAAACUAGACAUGUAGGGCUUCUUGAUUAAAUUUUAUUUCAUUAAAUUCAACUUCGUUUUCAAUUUUAUACGUAUUUUGGAAAUAGAAACCACUGCACUGGAAAUCCACGAUUCCAGUAUUGUGAUCAGAUUCAAAAGACUAUUUGUACCACCAAAUGAACUCAAAAAAUUCUGAAAGUUUAUAUGUAUGUUAAUAUAUGUGUCUAGGAUUCGCAGUUUUAAUUUCAUAAUUUUCUGAUUAGUAUUUUAUUUUAUAAAAAUCACGGAACCCAUUCUGUUUGGUUUAGAUUAUGUGAAAACAGUUUCGAAUUUGCUGAGAAGUAAAUAGUUUUUAAAAUGUUUUUGAUAUCGGAUUCUCUUGUAAAUUUUACAUGGGGUACUCAUGGAUGUCCAGAAUGGUUCCAUAGGAUUUUAUAUCAUUCUGAGACUUGGAUUAAGAGUUAAAAUUCUGAGAAUCAGACCUGUACGGGUAUGAAUUAGAAAAUCAAAUUCUUAGAAUACGUUAUUGAUUGUCAUAUCUUGUAUUUGUUUAAGGUUUUGAAGGUGUUUGAGGCUCUUAGAAGCUUAGAGGUGUGUUAAUCCAAGUUCAUUUGUCGAGGUAAGUAACUUCAUUCCUAGUAUACUGGAUAUGUAUAAGUAUUUUGAUAUUAUUGUUAUAAGUAUAAAUGUUUUUAUACUACUUAAAGGAUUAAUUGAUUUUGAUAACAAAAUUAGCUUUAUGUAAAUGUUUUCAAACCAUUCUUUUUAACAAAGUAUUUUAUAAAUGCUUUUUAAUAUGUAAAUGAUUUUAUGACAUGACAACCUUUUAUGAUUUUAUCUUUAAAAUGUUAUGCAAGCCUAAAUUAUUGUUAUGAACUUUUAUGAAACUGAUAUGAAUGUUUUGUACCUAUGUUUGAUUUCAAUUAUUGAUGAUUGUAUGAGAUUCUUAAUGCUUUGGCUCAUUGUCCAUAGUUAGUCUGAUUCUGAUUCUGAUUCUGAUCGUAAUAUACGAUAUAUCCGUCUGGACCAGUACUGGGUUUUUGUUCUGAAUGUACACACGAUAUUCUAAUUAUGUUUCUGGCCGGGUCACCGGGACUAUAGGUGACACUAUGUGACAUGAGCUAACCUGUUUGUUUUCUGUAUACGUAUUACAUGAGUUGAUUCGUAAGUAAAUAUGCUUUUGAAUAUUCUGAAUUAUUAAGAAUUUAUCUUAUGUUAUUGUGAUAUAUCGUUUUAUGAAAAUUAUGGAUUAUGAUAUAUGCUUUAAACAAAAGAAGGCUUGCAAUAUUUUUGGUAUCAAUAGGCCUAGUGUGUUAGGAAUGGUUUUACUUACCGAGUUGACGGCUCACCCCUCGUCAUUACUUUUUUGCAGAUUAAGUUUCUUUUGAGAGGUGCACUUAGCUUUGGAGUUAAUGAUUUCCAGUUUCCGUUUGCUAUUGAAUAAGAGGAGGAAUAGACUUGUGUUUCUAUUUAGUUACUUUUAUUAUGAACGUGUAAUUUGGAGUUUGAGACUUUUGUUAUUAUUUUUAUAUGUCCUCGAGAGAGAUUAUUUAGUAUUUGACGUUUGGAUUUAUGGAUUUAUUUGAAUAAGAAUUGGAGGAAUUUCAGUUUGAAACUUAUGAGUAAAGAUUAUGAUUUGUGAGUAACCUCCUUCUUCACGUGCUCCGCACGUGUUAGAUUUGGGGUGUUACAAUUGUGGUAUCAGAGCAACUAGGUUAGGAUUCUGUAGACUUUCUUUUACGGUUUAAUUAGAUUGUCUAAUUAAAUCGAUUACAUUUGUUUUGUAGACAUGAAGAAGGACAAUAUGGGUAUGAAAAGUGUCAAGAAUAAGGGAUGGACAGAAAUUGAUAGGACCGAACAAUUUAUCUUAGGAGGAGUUCUUGUCAAAGAUCUUAGGAGACUUCAUAAGCAGUGAAUGGAUGAUAGACUAAGACGGACUAUAGAGGUCUACAUCGAUACUCCUCCAGGACCUGGAGCUUCAAGAAAGAAGCUCAAUGAGGCUAUACGUGGACUACGUGUUUAUGGCAAGGGAGCUAACAAGAAUAAGCUUGUAAUACGUCGCCUAUUUUGGACAGGACCUCGAUUUAAGCCUUACUAUAGCAAAGGAUGGGUAUCUCCAGGUCUAAAUAAACUACCUUAUAGAACUCCUAAGGAAAUCGAGACAGAUGGAGUCACGACUAAGGAAAGGAAAGUAAAGAUAGAUCCUUUUCCUAUCCGGUUGAGUACACCUAUGAACUUUGUGGCUGUAGGACAUGAAACUCUGUAGACUUUAUUAAGGUUAAUAGAGUGAUUAAAUAUUUUAAGGCAAGGAGUAACUAGUAAUUCUAUUUUGGUCUUUUUGGCUUUCUAUGUUGCUUGUGACUUUGUAAUAACUCUUGUUAUAUGAUCUUUGGUAUUAACGUAGAAUGAAAUAUUUAUUGCUCUUGUUUACAAUAUCAAAUUUUCUUAGCUACACUACUUAUUCAGUACUCUGCGCGCUUGCACGACCUUUAGCUAUGAAUUAUUUACCCCUUUUUAAUUAUUUAUUUAUUCUCCGUGUUAUAGUCAAGAGAUGUCACGUAAGGGAGGUGCUAGGCAUGCCUCUAGCUCGAGAGAUGUUUUAGGUAUCGCUGACGACGCUGACCCAACCUUGCACGAGAUGGCUAACGAAGGAAAUCCUAUGAUGCGCGCAAUGCUUAGAUUGAUGGAACAACAAAGUAAGUUAAUUCAAGAUAUGGCUAGAGGCAGAGUUGGGGCACAAGAGAAUGUGCCAGUUGAAAGGCAAGGUGGCGCAAGAGAUCAUGGGGCUAUGGUGAACUUAGAACGAUUUAAGAAAUUGGGACCACCUACCUUUCAGGGGACUGCCGAUUCCAUGGUUGCAGAGGCAUGGCUAAAACAGAUGGAGAAGAUAUUUGUGGCUAUGGGUUGUAAUGAUGAUCAAAGGGUAAUAUUAGCCUCAUUUGUCCUUCAGGGUGAGGCAGACCACUGGUGGGAUGCCAAAUCUCGUCUCAUAAGGGCUGGCUUGCAAGAUGCACCCAUUACUUGGGAGUUAUUUUUGGAGGCUUUUCAUGAAAAGUAUUUUCCUGAACGAGUUCGACAUCAGAUGGAGGCUGAUUUCUUGAGGUUAACUCAAGGAACAAAGUCUGUUGCGGAGUAUGAGGAACAAUUUACUGCCCUCUCUCGUUUUGCUCAUACCUUGGUUGCUAAUGAAGGUAGUAAGUGUAGGAAGUUCCUGGAAGGGUUACGUCCUAACAUUAAAGGGCGAUUGACCAUCCUUAAGAUUAACAAUUAUGCCGAUUUGGUGGACCGAGCAAUUCUUGCGGAGAAGGAUAUUCUUGAAGCCCAAGUUACAAAGGAUCAGAGAAAUAAGAAGAAUCAACAAGGUGGACCGCGAAAUGGAAGUUCCUUUAGGCAGGGCACUCACUCCCAGAAGUAUAAUGGUGGAGGUAACAAAUGGGAUAACAAGGGUGUUACUGGUGACACCGCUCGGAGGAACUACCCCAUUUGUCGACAUUGUGAAAGGAGGCACCCUGGUGAAUGCCAUUGGAAAACUGGAGCUUGUUUUGCUUGUGGAGAAUCUGGGCAUAGGAUUAUGGAUUGCCCAAAGAGACGUAGCGAGACUACAAAUACUCAGACUAACGAAGGGCAGAGGAAGAAACCGAGGGUACAAGGGCGUGUUUUUGCACUAACAGAAAAAGAUGCUGAGGUGUCCAAUGAUGUAGUAUCAGGUACAUUGUCUUUAUUCUCUAGAGAAGCCAAAGUUCUUUUUGAUCCUGGUGCUACACAUUCAUUUGUAUCUUGUGUGUUUGCCCGUUAUGCUAAUGUGCCUAUCACACCACUGGAUGUUCACGUGACAAUUAGUACCCCUAUGGGGGAUUGCUAGUUUAUAGAUCAUGUCUAUAAGUCAUGUGUGAUCAGAUUGUGUGAUAAAGAAUUCCUUGUGGAUCUCCUACCUUUAGAGAUGCACGAUUUUGAUUUGAUUUUGGGGAUGGAUUGGUUAGGACCUUACCAUGUUUCAAUAGAUUGUUUUGCUAAUUAAAUUAUUUUUCGCCUACCUGGCGAGGAAAAAUUUCAUUUUCAAGGGAAUCAUAAGAGUCAUAAAGCUUUGAUUUCUAUGGUUAAGGCAAUGAAAAUGCUAAAGAAGGGGUGUGAAGGAUUUUUAGCGUAUAUAGUUGCUGACCAUCCCGAUGGGGCGUGCCUUGAAGACAUACCUAUUGUAAGGGAGUUUAUUGAUGUAUUUCCUGAAGAUCUUCCGGGACUACCCCCAGAUCGAGAGGUUGAGUUUACUAUAGAAUUAGUUCCUGGUACUACACCUAUAUCCAAGGCACCAUAUCGGAUGGCACCCAUUGAAUUAAAAGAACUAAAGGUCCAGCUACAAGAAUUACUAGAUAAGGGUUUCAUUCGUCCUAGUGUGUCGCCUUGGGGUGCUCCCGUUUUGUUCGUAAAGAAGAAAGAUGGUUCAAUGAGGUUGUGUAUAGACUACCGGCAGUUGAAUAUGGUUACCGUCAAGAAUAAAUACCCUCUUCCCCGAAUUGAUGACCUCUUUGAUCAAUUACGAGGUGCAGCGGUAUUCUCUAAAAUUGAUUUACGAUCUGGCUACCAUCAAUUGAAAAUAAGAAGUGAGGAUGUAUCGAAGACAGCUUUUCGAACUCGUUAUGGACACUAUGAGUUCUUAGUUAUGCCUUUUGGAUUAACUAAUGCUCCUGCAGUGUUCAUGGAUUUGAUGAAUAGGAUCUUCCAACCUUAUCUUGACCAGUUUGUCAUCGUCUUUAUUGAUGACAUAUUAAUUUACUCUAAGAGUAAGAAGGAGCAUGAGUCGCACCUGAGGAUUGUAUUAGAAACAUUGCGGAAGAAGAAGUUGUAUGGAAAAUUUAAGAAAUGUGAGUUUUGGCUUGAUCGUGUGAUGUUUUUGGGACAUAUAGUGACGAAGGAUGGUAUUUCAGCAGAUCCAGCCAAAGUGGAGGUAAUUGUGAAUUGGGAAAGGCCUGCUAGUGUGACUGAAGUAAGGAGUUUCUUAGGAUUGGCAGGUUAUUAUAGGCGCUUUGUCAAAGGAUUUUCUAGCAUAGCAGCACCAUUGACUAAUUUGACUAAGAAGAAUGUGAAGUUCAAUUGGGAUGAGGCAUGUGAAAAGAGCUUUUAAGAGCUCAAGAGUCAUUUGGUGACUGCCCCCGUUUUAACUCUCCCUUCUGAAGGUGGAGGUUUUGUGAUUUACAGUGAUGCUUCCAGAAAAGGUUUGGGUUGCGUUUUAAUGCAACAUGGUAAGGUUAUAGCAUAUGCUUCUAGGCAGCUAAAGAAUCAUGAACAAAACUACCCAACACAUGAUUUGGAAUUGGCUGCUAUAAUGUUUGCUCUAAAAAUCUGGAGACACUAUUUGUAUGGGGAGACUUGUGAGAUCUUCACCGAUCAUAAGAGUUUGAAGUACUUGUUUACUCAAAAGGAAUUGAAUUUGAGGCAAAGAAGAUGGUUGGAGUUGGUAAAGGAUUUUGAUUGUUCUAUUAAUUACCAUCCAGGUAAGGCAAACGUAGUAGCGGAUGUCUUGAGUAGGAAAUCAUCUGGGUGCAUGGCUCAUCUUAUCACCAUGCAAUCUCAUUUGGUAAAAGACUUGAGGAGAUGUGGGAUUGAGGUAGUUACUCAUGGGCAAGCAGACGUGUUAGCACAUUUGACAGUCCAACCCACUCUAAUUGAUAGAGUUAAGGUAGCUCAGAAGAACGACAUAGAACUCAAUAAAAUCCGUGAAGAUGUGAGCAAAGGACAUAAGCCCGGAUUUAGACUUGAUAAUGGGGAUGGAUUAUGUUUGGGACAAAGGUUAUGCGUGCCAGCAGACGAAGAGUUGAAGGCGGAGAUCUUAAGAGAAGCUCAUGAAUCAUCUUACAGUAUGCAUCCUGGUAGUACUAAGAUGUAUCGUGAUCUAAAGCAAAGUUUUUGGUGGAGGAAUAUGAAGAGAGAUAUUGCUGCUUUUGUGUCUCGGUGUUUAGUCUGCCAACAAGUAAAGAUUGAGCAUUAAAGACCAGCAGGAACUUUACAAACGCUUCCUAUUCCUCAGUGGAAAUGGGAACACAUAACAAUGGAUUUCGUUUCUGGAUUACCUCGUUCUAGGAGGGGAUGUGAUUGCAUUUGGGUAAUUGUUGAUCGAUUGACGAAAUCAGCUCAUUUCUUGGCAAGGAAGAGUACAGACAAUGUAGGGCAACUAGCUAAGUUGUUCAUUAAGGAGAUAGUGAGGCUUCAUGGGGUUCCAGUGUCAAUAGUGUCUGAUAGAGAUCCACUGUUCACUUCAAGAUUUUGGGCUAGCUUACAUAAAGAGUUGGGGACGAAAUUGAGAUUUAGCACUGCUUUUCAUCCACAGACAGAUGGGCAAUCCGAAAGGACUAUUCAAACCCUUGAGGAUAUGCUUCGAGCUUGCGUCCUAGACUUGAGUGGUGGUUGGGAAGAGCACCUAAUGUUGAUCGAAUUUGCUUAUAACAAUAGCUUCCAUUCGAGUAUUGGCAUGGCACCAUUUGAGGCAUUAUAUGGAAGAAAGUGUAGGUCCCCAAUCUGCUGGGAUGAAGUUGGUGAAAGAAAACUUUUGGGUCCAGAAUUAAUACAGAUUACUGUUGAUAAAAUCAAGUUGAUUAGAGGACGUCUUCAAACAGCUCAGAGCAGACAGAAGAGUUAUGCAGAUCGUCGUAGACGUGAGUUGGAAUUCGAAAAAGGAGAUUUUGUUUUCUUGAAAGUAUCGCCAUGGAAAGGGGUGUUUCGGUUCGGGAAGACAGGAAAGCUUAGCCCUAGAUUUAUUGGACCAUUUGAGAUUUUAGAGAGAAUUGGUCCGGUGGCCUAUCGCAUAGCUUUACCACCAAGUCUGUCUAGGCUUCACAAUGUAUUUCAUGUGUCUGUGUUAAGAAAGUACAUUGCAGACCCUUUACAUGUGCUAGACUAUCAACCGAUUCAGAUAAAUGAAGACAUGUCGUAUGAGGAACAGCCUAUUGAGAUUGUCGAUCGAGACGAACAAGUAUUAAGGAAUAGAGUUAUUCCCCUAGUGAAGGUACGAUGGAUGAAUCAUUCUAUUGAGGAAGCCACUUGGGAGAGAAGCAGAAAUGUUGGAGAAGUAUCCUCAACUCUUCCAUGCAUAAGGUAACCUUUUAAUUUCGAGGACGAAAUUUUUGUUAGGAGGGGAGAAAUUGUAACGCCACAAAUUCCCAUACAUAUUAAAUUAUGGAAAUUGGGCUUUCAUUGAGAAUUAUGGGUGGCCUAUAACCCUUAUUUAGAAAGGGGUACUAAUUAAAUAGAGGUUAUUUAUGAGAUCAUUUUGGAAAAGGGCUAUUUUUCCUUAUUGAAUAGGGUUUCUUAAGAUCCCCUAUAAAUACAUACUUUUCCCCCUUCCAUAACCCUAAGUUCACAACGUUUAUCCUUCUUCUCUGCUGCUCUUUACGCUCCUACCCAAAUCUUAGGAUUCAAACCUUUGUUUAGGAGAGACUCAAAGCGACGGGUAAGUUCACAACGUUUAUUCUGAACAGCAUGAGUAUCUCGAAUUUUUAAAGCUAUAUUUUCUGAACGAAUUUUCUUAUAAAAUUUAUAUUUCUGGAAACUAGACAUGUAGGGCUUCUUGAUUAAAUUUUAUUUCAUUAAAUUCAACUUCGUUUUCAAUUUUAUACGUAUUUUGGAAAUAGAAACCACUGCACUGGAAAUCCACGAUUCCAGUAUUGUGAUCAGAUUCAAAAGACUAUUUGUACCACCAAAUGAACUCAAAAAAUUCUGAAAGUUUAUAUGUAUGUUAAUAUAUGUGUCUAGGAUUCGCAGUUUUAAUUUCAUAAUUUUCUGAUUAGUAUUUUAUUUUAUAAAAAUCACGGAACCCAUUCUGUUUGGUUUAGAUUAUGUGAAAACAGUUUCGAAUUUGCUGAGAAGUAAAUAGUUUUUAAAAUGUUUUUGAUAUCGGAUUCUCUUGUAAAUUUUACAUGGGGUACUCAUGGAUGUCCAGAAUGGUUCCAUAGGAUUUUAUAUCAUUCUGAGACUUGGAUUAAGAGUUAAAAUUCUGAGAAUCAGACCUGUACGGGUAUGAAUUAGAAAAUCAAAUUCUUAGAAUACGUUAUUGAUUGUCAUAUCUUGUAUUUGUUUAAGGUUUUGAAGGUGUUUGAGGCUCUUAGAAGCUUAGAGGUGUGUUAAUCCAAGUUCAUUUGUCGAGGUAAGUAACUUCAUUCCUAGUAUACUGGAUAUGUAUAAGUAUUUUGAUAUUAUUGUUAUAAGUAUAAAUGUUUUUAUACUACUUAAAGGAUUAAUUGAUUUUGAUAACAAAAUUAGCUUUAUGUAAAUGUUUUCAAACCAUUCUUUUUAACAAAGUAUUUUAUAAAUGCUUUUUAAUAUGUAAAUGAUUUUAUGACAUGACAACCUUUUAUGAUUUUAUCUUUAAAAUGUUAUGCAAGCCUAAAUUAUUGUUAUGAACUUUUAUGAAACUGAUACGAAUGUUUUGUACCUAUGUUUGAUUUCAAUUAUUGAUGAUUGUAUGAGAUUCUUAAUGCUUUGGCUCAUUGUCCAUAGUUAGUCUGAUUCUGAUUCUGAUUCUGAUCGUAAUAUACGAUAUAUCCGUCUGGACCAGUACUGGGUUUCUGUUCUGAAUGUACACACGAUAUUCUGAUUAUGUUUCUGGCCGGGUCACCGGGACUAUAGGUGACACUAUGUGACAUGAGCUAACCUGUUUGUUUUCUGUAUACGUAUUACAUGAGUUGAUUCGUAAGUAAAUAUGCUUUUGAAUAUUCUGAAUUAUUAAGAAUUUAUCUUAUGUUAUUGUGAUAUAUCGUUUUAUGAAAAUUAUGGAUUAUGAUAUAUGCUUUAAACAAAAGAAGGCUUGCAAUAUUUUUGGUAUCAAUAGGCCUAGUGUGUUAGGAAUGAUUUUACUUACCGAGUUGACGGCUCACCCCUCGUCAUUACUUUUUUGCAGAUUAAGUUUCUUUUGAGAGGUGCACUUAGCUUUGGAGUUAAUGAUUUCCAGUUUCCGUUUGCUAUUGAAUAAGAGGAGGAAUAGACUUGUGUUUCUAUUUAGUUACUUUUAUUAUGAACGUGUAAUUUGGAGUUUGAGACUUUUGUUAUUAUUUUUAUAUGUCCUCGAGAGAGAUUAUUUAGUAUUUGACGUUUGGAUUUAUGGAUUUAUUUGAAUAAGAAUUGGAGGAAUUUCAGUUUGAAACUUAUGAGUAAAGAUUAUGAUUUGUGAGUAACCUCCUUCUUCACGUGCUCCGCACGUGUUAGAUUUGGGGUGUUACACCACCCGUUUUUGUGGCCUUUUCCCGCUGGACGAACUUGGCGCCCCGGCCUUCAGGCACUUGCUCAAUUCCUUCUCUGCAAAUUUGAACGCUUGAACACGCACCGUCAUCCCAGUUCCUUGCAGUCGUCUCGAAGCCCCUGCUUUCAGUAGAGGAAAGACGAUUCUGUAUAGCCAUCAAACAGAUAAGAAAAUUUGAAACAAUCCAAGGUUUCUCAGAUCAAAUGAAACCCCAAGAUCAAUCAAGACCAAUGGAUGAUCUUGUACUUAGCUCUAAAACAAACAAGUAAAACCAUCGAAGAAAUUGGAUCAAAACCAGCAGGUUUAGAUUGAUUAUUUAUAAACAUCAUACUUGCCACACUCUUGGCGUGUAAAUCCUUAGAUUCACAGGUCUUAUAUCACAUGAAUGAAGAUGCUAGUGGUGUGCCUCCAUGGAUCUCUUAGUUUUCAAGUUGUUUUAUUUGACUGACCACCUAAGUUUGAAUCGUGGUGAGGGAAGAAGAUAAAAAUUAAUUUGAUCUUUGCACCUCACUACUUUUAAAAGAGCUCAAACUUCAGACUCAGUUUUGAAUUUUAAUUAUUUUAAAUUGAAACGCUAAUUCCAUAUAUUAUAUAUAUGAGUUUUUUUUCCCAAGGUUGAAUUA